This 252-nucleotide ribosomal RNA is filed under the name uncultured prokaryote. RNAcentral's name for it is "partial 16S ribosomal RNA". It matches the Rfam family "Bacterial small subunit ribosomal RNA", at positions 524 to 775 of the family's 1533-position model. The record is from RNAcentral.
UACGGAGGAUGCGAGCGUUAUCCGGAUUUAUUGGGUUUAAAGGGUGCGUAGGCGGCCGAGUAAGUCAGCGGUGAAAUUUUGCAGCUUAACUGUAACAGUGCCGUUGAUACUGCAUGGAUAGGAUUUGGUUGCUGUGGGUGGAAUGUGUGGUGUAGCGGUGAAAUGCUUAGAUAUCACACAGAAUAUCAAUUGCGAAGGCAGCUCACAAAGCCAAGAUUGACGCUGAGGCACGAAAGUGUGGGGAGUCAAACA